Molecule: ribosomal RNA, 253 nt
Filed under: uncultured bacterium
Lineage: Bacteria
Description: partial 16S ribosomal RNA
Rfam family: Bacterial small subunit ribosomal RNA
Source: RNAcentral
UACGGAGGGGGCUAGCGUUGUUCGGAAUUACUGGGCGUAAAGCGCACGUAGGCGCGCUGGCCAGUUGGGGGUGAAAGCCCGAGGCUUAACCUCGGAACUGCCCUCAAUACUGCCAGUCUAGAGUCCGGGAGAGGUGAGUGGAAGUCCUAGUGUAGAGGUGAAAUUCGUAGAUAUUAGGAAGAACACCAGUGGCGAAGGCGGGUCACUGGCCCGGUACUGACGCUGAGGUGCGAAAGCGUGGGGAGCAAACAGG